RNAcentral lists this ribosomal RNA (253 nucleotides) under uncultured bacterium. RNAcentral describes it as "partial 16S ribosomal RNA". It matches the Rfam family "Bacterial small subunit ribosomal RNA", at positions 524 to 776 of the family's 1533-position model. The record is from RNAcentral.
GACAGAGGGUGCAAACGUUGUUCGGAAUUACUGGGCGUAAAGCGCGUGUAGGCGGCCCGGAAAGUCGGAUGUGAAAGCCCUGGGCUUAACCUAGGAAGUGCAUUCGAAACUCCCGGGCUUGAGUUCUGGAGAGGAAGGCGGAAUUCUCGGUGUAGAGGUGAAAUUCGUAGAUAUCGAGAGGAACACCAGUGGCGAAGGCGAGUCCCUGGACAAAACCUGACACUGAGGCACGAAAGCUAGGGGAGCGAACAGG